UAUAUACAAAACUUGACUCAAUAAGUACUUAGGACAGUCCUAUAGAUUUCUGAUGACUAUUGAUGAAGUGAUUUUUUGAUAGUACCAGUUUAAUUUACAAAUUGCAAUUAAUUUAGCAUGACGCUAUAUACGAAAUUCAGAUUUUUGCGUUGAUUUACAAAAAGAAAACUAACGUCAUUAAAACAUUGCAAUUUGUAAACUAUAGUGAGAAUGUUAUAAAAUUUUGAUACAUUUCGUUUGAAGGCUGAUACUAUCUAACAGCCUUAUUCUGGCAUUAUCACCGUUAAAAUAAAUAAAAUAAAAUAGUCAUAAAAUUUGUGAUAGUGUUUGCUUGUCAUCGUUUCGGCCAUUUUAUGUCAAAUUUCGUAUUUUGAGGAAGUUGUAACAAAAAAAUCUCCAAUAUCAAAUUUGCGCUAGCAUAAGGUUAUUAGCUUACACAACUUACAAAAUACAAAUGUGAUAAAUAAAUGAUGAAAAUGUUAAAUCAAUAUAAUAAAAAAAAUUCGUAUCACUUUUACAAUAAUUGACCAACCUUUAACGCUGUAAGUUAAUGAAAUUGAUUAAUAAAUAAAUUAAUAAAGAAAAUAAUACAGUUUCUUUUACAGGCUUACCAUUCGUUAUUUUCUAAAAAACUGGUUAACCCCCGAGUCCCACACAGUGAUAUAUUAUAUAUGUUAAAGCUAUUUAUGUGUAUUAUAUUUGAUUGCAAGAUAAAGUAAAGAUUGCAUAGUCUAUAUUGCUCUAUACUGCUAGGUUAGCAGCAGUCUCUGAAUGACAUUUAUAUCUCUUAAAUGGGACGAUGUCCGUUAAAUGGGACGAAGUAACAGAUUUCGUCACGGCGAUGUCUCUUAAAUGGGACCAAGUAACAGAACUCGUCACGACGAUGUCUUUUAUAUGGAACGAAGUGGUAAAUAAAAACCGUAACAGCUGGAUUUAUAAUAUAAUAAACAAUAAUGAAGAACGUGAGAGAGUUAAGGAAAAAACUGAAGAGUUGCAAUGUCACAUUGAUGAAACUAGUUGCAAAAACAAAGCCAGCCAUACCACAAUGCAAAUGCUAACUGUUUAACAAUCAAUUUCAUAUCAAAUGCAAUACAAAAAUCAUUCGUCGAAGUUUUUAUUAAAAUCAUUCAAUUAGCAUAAACAAUUUUCCCCUAUCUAUGUCCAUUGUCUGGGCUACUGGCCAAAUGAGCCAGUAAGCACUGAGACAAAGAAUACCGGUAAAACAAUUAUGUGGUCUACGAGAAGAUUUUGAAGAAGAAUGUGUUAUCGUUGGAACAAUAAACCUAAUAUUCUUAAAGAUAUUUCUGAAGAAAAUCAGUUGGCUCCACAACCUCAAAAAUGGAUGUUUUUGGUUUCAUGCAACUUAAUCAAUUAGGAAAGGAGGGAAGGAGCUAAGUUCGUUUAUAUUAACAUUUCACAUCUUACGGUACAGCGUUCAUAUAACUGCAUACAAUAGAGAAAAAUAAAUAAUAUGUAGAAAACAAGGAAAGAAGAGGCUUAAAGAGGUGAAUGAACUCAAACUGAUGAUCUGAACAAAUCACAAUUGUGGUUGAGAUAGGACUUUUUAUUUAAUAAAUAGUAUAACUUGCCGAAAUUGCACUUUUUAUCUGUGGAAUCGUAUUGAUUAAUAAUAUGUUUUUUCUUUGUAUAUUUAAAAAACAUAAAAAAAUAUUUUUUAAUAUGUAUUUUUUAUACGAAUUGUAAUACUGUAGCAUACCUGUCAAAGUUAACGUUUGUUCACUGUUUCUUGAACAAACGUUAACAGCCUUUCAGAUAGAUUUUUAGUUAAAUAUAUAUGUAACUAAUUUUUGCAAAAUAAAAUUAUAGACAAGAUUUUGUUCAAACAUGUGUCAAAAGAUUGAUUAAAAACUUGAUCUAUUCCCUUCAGUUAAUA
Glossina fuscipes is the source of this 1894-nucleotide long non-coding RNA. RefSeq lists it as uncharacterized. The record is from RefSeq and is a predicted model, not a curated record. NCBI's taxonomy places the organism in Eukaryota, Metazoa, Arthropoda, Insecta, Diptera, Glossinidae. The transcript is spliced from 3 exons.